UACGAUCUUAACCAGUAGAAAAUAAUACAAUGGUCUAAAGACUAUGUAUAAAAUUGUAUAAAACGCUAUCUGUGUUACCCUAUAUAUAUAUAUAUAUAUAUAUAUAUAUACAUUUAGCCAGUGUCCCAGUCAUAAUUUGUAAAAGCAUUAUAUUGAUCGAUUAAAAAUAUUCAAGUUUUAACGGUGCCCUUGUACUGUGAACUCAAUCUAAUGGUCGAACUUAUCAAUGACCUAUUUGUUCACAAAAAUGCAAUUAGGGUUUCCUUCAAGUUAUGUACAUGUUUCUUAAACCUAUGAUCUCCUGAUUCUUUUUUCACAAGCAACAAGAGUACAAUGAUAACUGAUAAAACCUUUUAUCAAAGAAAUGAACGGAUACGUGGGAGACAUGUAGAAGGAAUUGUUGAGCAGGCAUGGAUGACUUUUCUUUUCCUUCUUUUUUCCCCCCGUCACACUAAGCCACCGGGCGAGGAUAACAAAGUAUUCUUACUUUUCCUCUUUGAAUGAAAUAACAUUUACCAUAUGAUAAUCAAGUCAAAUAAAGCACGAGAUGCUUUGCCAAAAAUU
This 564-nucleotide long non-coding RNA is filed under the name Citrus maxima (pomelo). RNAcentral's name for it is "long non-coding RNA (CMAX_LNC002625)". The record is from RNAcentral. Lineage: Eukaryota; Viridiplantae; Streptophyta; Magnoliopsida; Sapindales; Rutaceae.